UGGGAAUAUAAUUUAAAACUUGGUAAAAUAUAUAACUUGCACUUAUAAAUUAUUGGUUCAAAUCCGAUUAUUUCCAU
RNAcentral lists this transfer RNA (77 nucleotides) under Dipterosiphonia australica. RNAcentral describes it as "tRNA-Ala". It matches the Rfam family "tRNA". Rfam says of the family: Transfer RNA (tRNA) molecules are approximately 80 nucleotides in length. Their secondary structure includes four short double-helical elements and three loops (D, anti-codon, and T loops). The record is from RNAcentral. Lineage: Eukaryota; Rhodophyta; Florideophyceae; Ceramiales; Rhodomelaceae.